GGGUGUGAGGGCGUUCUGGCUGUGAUGUCUGUCACCCCAUUGGUUGCCAGGGUUGGUUCGGCUGCUCUGGCUGGUGUGGCAGGUGUCCCCUUCCUCCCUCGCCACUCCACGUGUGUCCCUCCCGAAGCUGCACGCUUGGUCGAAGAGGACGACCAUCCCCUUGGGGGAGGGCCAUUCUUAGGUCAAGGGAAUACAAGUAGCUGCCUCCCCUGCUAGAACUCCCAAACAAACUCUCAAGAUCCAGGGCGAGUUCCUCAGUUUUGCCUUCAGGUUGUUUCUGAGAAUCCAG
Molecule: small nuclear RNA, 289 nt
Filed under: Carlito syrichta (Philippine tarsier)
Lineage: Eukaryota; Metazoa; Chordata; Mammalia; Primates; Tarsiidae
Description: 7SK RNA (ENSTSYG00000025653.1)
Rfam family: 7SK RNA
About the family: 7SK was discovered as an abundant small nuclear RNA in the mid-70s but a possible function has only recently been suggested. Two independent studies have found that 7SK RNA binds the CDK9/cyclin T complex (known as elongation factor P-TEFb).
Source: RNAcentral